UUUGCAAACUGUGAAAGUAUCAUGGCACAGUUUUGAAAACCAAUUUGUUAAUAAGGUUUGCACAGAAAAUGGUAUUGAAUACAAUUAUUUUUGCACCAAGAACACUAUUGCAUAUAGAGGUUAUAAAAAUAUAAAAAUAGAACCUUUGUUGUGUAAGGACAAUGCCUUGUGAUAGCAGUUGAUUAAUGCUAUCAUCACAGCUUGUCAUAUUAUAAGGUUUCUAUUAAAUCUAUUUUUGAAGAAAACCCUAUAUGAACUCAUGAAAAACAGAAAAUCAAAUGGUGCAUACCUUCAUGUUUUUCAGUUAUACAUAUUAUGUUCUCAAGAAUGAUAUAUAUGCCAAAUCUGAUAAAACAAGCGCUUCUUUGGAUAUUACUCUUUAAGCAAUGCAUAUAGAAUAUUCAAUGAAAAUAUAGUUUGUCAUUUUGCUUCUAUUUAAAAGACAUUAAGAAGAAUGAAUAAGAUGACAAUUAGUUAAGUUAAACUAAAUCAUUUUGAAAGGGAUAAAAUUUGAAAUCUUG
This 521-nucleotide long non-coding RNA is filed under the name Phoenix dactylifera (date palm). Its description in RNAcentral is "long non-coding RNA (PDAC_LNC014306)". The record is from RNAcentral. Lineage: Eukaryota; Viridiplantae; Streptophyta; Magnoliopsida; Arecales; Arecaceae.